RNAcentral lists this ribosomal RNA (440 nucleotides) under uncultured bacterium. Its description in RNAcentral is "partial 16S ribosomal RNA". It matches the Rfam family "Bacterial small subunit ribosomal RNA", at positions 338 to 795 of the family's 1533-position model. The record is from RNAcentral.
CCUACGGGUGGCAGCAGUGGGGAAUAUUGCACAAUGGGGGAAACCCUGAUGCAGCGACGCAGCGUGAGCGAUGAAGUAUUUCGGGAUGUAAAGCUCUAUCAGCAGGGAAGAAAAGGACGGUACCUGACUAAGAAGCCCCGGCUAACUACGUGACAGCAGCCGCGGUAAUACGUAGGGGGCAAGCGUUAUCCGGAUUUACUGGGUGUAAAGGGAGCGUAGACGGUCCUGCAAGCCAGAUGUGAAAGCCCGGGGCUCAACCCCGGGACUGCAGUUGGAACUGUAAGGCUAGAGUGUAGGAGAGGCAGGCGGAAUUCCUAGUGUAGCGGUGAAAUGCGUAGAUAUUGCGCAGAACUCCGAUUGCGAAGGCAGCAUACCGGCGGCGAUCUGACGCUGAGGCACGAAAGCGUGGGUAUCGAACAGGAUUAGAUACCCCAGUAGUC